RNAcentral lists this long non-coding RNA (249 nucleotides) under Hordeum vulgare. RNAcentral describes it as "long non-coding RNA (HVUL_LNC012807)". Lineage: Eukaryota; Viridiplantae; Streptophyta; Magnoliopsida; Poales; Poaceae. The record is from RNAcentral.
CGGAUUCUCGAGCUUGCACUUCUUCUUGGAUUCCAAAGAAGUAGACGUUGCUUCCCCUCUAGUCUUAUCUCUAGCCUCUAUUCUUUCAACGAGUGCAUGAGUAUCUAUCAAAUAUCAAUAGAUCAAUGUAUUUAUAUUUUAUUACAAAACCUUGCAUCCAUCCUACACACAAACAUAAGCAAACAAUGAGCUAUCGAAAUUGCGCCGAAUCCGGUGAGGCAACUAAAUCAGAAGAAGCGCAUAUCCCAU